RNAcentral lists this ribosomal RNA (907 nucleotides) under Phaeosphaeria fuckelii. RNAcentral describes it as "LSU rRNA". It matches the Rfam family "Eukaryotic large subunit ribosomal RNA", at positions 37 to 962 of the family's 3401-position model. The record is from RNAcentral. Lineage: Eukaryota; Fungi; Ascomycota; Dothideomycetes; Pleosporales; Phaeosphaeriaceae.
UGCAUAUCAAUAAGCGGAGGAAAAGAAACCAACAGGGAUUGCCCUAGUAACGGCGAGUGAAGCGGCAACAGCUCAAAUUUGAAAUCUGGCUCUUUUAGGGUCCGAGUUGUAAUUUGCAGAGGGCGCUUUGGCGUUGGCAGCGGUCCAAGUUCUUUGGAACAGGACGUCACAGAGGGUGAGAAUCCCGUACGUGGUCGCUAGCCUUCGCCGUGUAAAGCCCCUUCGACGAGUCGAGUUGUUUGGGAAUGCAGCUCUAAAUGGGAGGUAAAUUUCUUCUAAAGCUAAAUACUGGCCAGAGACCGAUAGCGCACAAGUAGAGUGAUCGAAAGAUGAAAAGCACUUUGGAAAGAGAGUCAAAUAGCACGUGAAAUUGUUGAAAGGGAAGCGCUUGCAGCCAGACUUGCCUGUAGUUGCUUAUCCGGACUUUUGUCCGGUGCACUCUUCUGCGGGCAGGCCAGCAUCAGUUUAGGCGGUUGGAUAAAGGUCUCUAUCACGUACCUCCCUUCGGGGUUGGCCUUAUAGGGGAGACGACAUGCAACCAGCUUGAACUGAGGUCCGCGCAUCUGCUAGGAUGCUGGCGUAAUGGCUGUAAGCGGCCCGUCUUGAAACACGGACCAAGGAGUCUAACAUCUAUGCGAGUGUUUGGGUGUCAAGCCCAGACGCGUAAUGAAAGUGAACGGAGGUGGGAACCUUUUAGGUGCACCAUCGACCGAUCCUGAUGUCUUCGGAUGGAUUUGAGUAAGAGCAUGGCUGUUGGGACCCGAAAGAUGGUGAACUAUGCUUGAAUAGGGUGAAGCCAGAGGAAACUCUGGUGGAGGCUCGCAGCGGUUCUGACGUGCAAAUCGAUCGUCAAAUUUGGGCAUAGGGGCGAAAGACUAAUCGAACUAUCUAGUAGCUGGUUCCUGCC